AUUGAACGCUGGCGGCAGGCUUAACACAUGCAAGUCGAGCGGGGGAAGGUAGCUUGCUACUGGACCUAGCGGCGGACGGGUGAGUAAUGCUUAGGAAUCUGCCUAUUAGUGGGGGACAACAUCUCGAAAGGGAUGCUAAUACCGCAUACGUCCUACGGGAGAAAGCAGGGGAUCUUCGGACCUUGCGCUAAUAGAUGAGCCUAAGUCGGAUUAGCUGGUUGGUGGGGUAAAGGCCUACCAAGGCGACGAUCUGUAGCGGGUCUGAGAGGAUGAUCCGCCACACUGGGAUUGAGACACGGCCCAGAAUCCUACGGGAGGCAGCAGUGGGGAAUAUUGGACAAUGGGGGGAACCCUGAUCCAGCCAUGCCGCGUGUGUCAAGAAGGCCUUAUGGUUGUAAAGCACUUUAAGCGAGGAGGAGGCUACUCUAGUUAAUACCUAGGGAUAGUGGACGUUACUCGCAGAAUAAGCACCGGCUAACUCUGUGCCAGCCGCCGCGGUAA
RNAcentral lists this ribosomal RNA (501 nucleotides) under uncultured bacterium. Its description in RNAcentral is "partial 16S ribosomal RNA". It matches the Rfam family "Bacterial small subunit ribosomal RNA", at positions 30 to 523 of the family's 1533-position model. The record is from RNAcentral.